Molecule: long non-coding RNA, 834 nt
Organism: Ceratosolen solmsi marchali
Lineage: Eukaryota; Metazoa; Arthropoda; Insecta; Hymenoptera; Agaonidae
Exons: 4
Source: RefSeq, a predicted model, not a curated record
AGAGAGUGGCAGAGUCACUGAGGGACGCGCUUUGUACGAGUCGCUGUUGCAUUUCGCGGCCGGGAGUUGGCUCGCCAAGGGCCGAGUUGAUGUGCGCGCGGCUCUCCGAUGAGCGGAGAGACGGAGCUGAGGCGCUGACCGACGGCCCAGGCUCAUCGUCGUCCUCCGGCAUCGAGGCACAGUGAGUUUGUCAUAAUCGGGGGGCAGAUCACGGACGAGGAGUGCGGCCGGCUCGACGAAUAAGGACGAUUGCUCGACACUGUGGUUCGUCGAUCUUUCUGAUCGGCGCGAGAGAUGUCACGUCGUUGGAGAGAGAUUGACGAAUGACGCCGUGACGGAGAGCCGGCUGAUGCGCAAAUACCGGUGCACGAGGGGGACUUGCAUCUUAUACAUCGCCACGACUGCGCUUAUCACGUAGAGCAGCAUCGACGCGGCUUGGAGAAUCGGGCCGAGGGAGCGAGGGGCAGCGAGCCCUUUGGCGAGCUCGAAGGAUGCAGCUCCCAGGCGGGAGCACGAGGACACCGCCGUCGCGAGCACCGGGCAUCUACCUCGGCAUCAUCAAUGGCAACGACAUCAUAGACAAGAGCUGCAGCAGCAAGAGCGUGAAAGGUAGAGUGCGCGGCAGCAGCCGCCCCCGAGACGAAGACGAGACUGGCAAGCCGAUUUCUCUGACGGGGAUUCGUCGAGCUCUCGAUUAUCGCCCUAAGCGACACGGACCGAACUUACGGUCGUUGUCCCCGGUUCCACGACGGGAGGAUUGGCCCGCCGAAUAGUGAAAGAGGAGGUAUCGCGCAGGACCGCUCUGUCUGUUGGCGAGAGAGAGAGAGAGAGAGA